UGGUUCCUGAAGCGAUUUCUGCUCUGC
Molecule: non-coding RNA, 27 nt
Filed under: Homo sapiens (human)
Lineage: Eukaryota; Metazoa; Chordata; Mammalia; Primates; Hominidae
Source: RNAcentral